GAUUGCUUGCGGGAACGACCUGGCAAUCGAGCUGCGCACUGUGCGGGGAACGCUUUCACAAGCUCACCGAGCGACUGGCGUUAAGCUGAGUGCGCGAAUGCCUAGUGUCUUCGGCGCAACGGGACACUGACGCUGCUCUCUUGUUUCCCUUAGAAUAGUGGUGUAAGGCACGUGAUCGCGCACGGGGUCUGUGUUCGAUGAGUCACGUGCCCGCUGCGCCUGUGUGUGUUGAUGAUGCGCGAACAAGGUAUGAAGUGAUCGAGUGUUGUAACGUUUAGGUCCUUCUCUGGCGUGAUAUGAGCGGGGGAUAGGAAUUAAUCGCGAACAUAGCGACCGGUUACUCGGGGAAGUGCAUGCAGGCUGCCGUUGACUGUUACGAGGAUCGCGGGGAGCGCGCUCGAGUCGCUGCUCUUGUUCAAGGGGCUCUCACGAUGCUGAGUCGCAAUGCGUGAGCGGUUCGCGCUGGUUAGCAGGGCGACCUGCUGUUCGAGCUUCUGCGUGACACGCUCUGCGCAGCGCAUGUCAUUUUCAAUAUCGGAUAGUGUUGAUGAGGACUCGCUGGGCGAGCGCCAGCGCGAGCUGUGCUCCGGAUCAGCAGAAACUGGGCUGCGCAGCAGAGUGUCCGCUGGUGAGGGGUGCUCGUGCGCUGGGCUUUCUCCGGCAGAGUGAACAUGCUCGGCGAGUGCGCAGGGUGAGGGAUCUUCCGAUGCCGAGUCGUCGCCCGUACUAGGGACCAGACCGGCAGCGAUCUCCCGCCGUACUGCAGCAGCCUCGACCCGCAAGGCAGCGUUUGCGAGCAUCAUUCCCUCCAGCGUCGUCACGAGAUUUUCAAUAACGUCAAUGGGUGGCACCCUGGCAAAUGCACUCGCAACUAGUUUGGUAUGCUCGCCACUCGCGUCACCACAAGCAGAUGCAUGUCUUUGGAGCAGACUAGCGGCUUCGUUCAAAAGUCUUGCAUGGUCGGAAUCGGUGCAGUCUCCUAGAAGAGAACGCAAUCGAGAAGCGAGCGCGCCGAAAACCUCCGAAUGACUCGCACACAAUUGGUCGAGGGAGCUGCUUGACGCAUUCGUGAAAUCCCGAGCAUAGGGUGGAUCCCACUCCAUCGAGUCCGUAUUGGCUUUGUGCUGGAAGGCGCCUUCGUCACUGGUAUCGAUCGGAUCUCUCUGCUUCUGGUGUUUGUUGCUGGAUCGACAGCAAUCCUCGUGACGAAGGGUAGCUGUUCGCUGGUUCGCUGGACGUGGUCCGCUCGUCUCGAUGGACAGGCUCGGUGAUGCAGAUCGCCGCGAGUCAUGAUCGACUUGUUCAGCUUGUUCCUCGUAUGGUCGGGGCACGGGCUCUCCGGUGAUCUGAGACGCAGAAGCAGCCGGUCUUGACUCGGCUGUACUCGCUUUCGCAUCGGGCUCGGCGUCUGCAGUUAUCGUUUUGCCACUGCCAACAUCUUCGCUCUUCGACGAGGGCAUUUCAAGAUUCCUGCAACCGAUUUGCGCCACGUCUCGCGAGCCUCUCAAUAAAGCAUAUGAGCGACGAGUAUCAGGUUCUGGGGACUUGCCUGAAGGCAGCCCCCUGUGACCUGGAGCUGCUUGGGAGUCGUCCGCGAAACGCACGCAGACUGAUCCAGGACGGCCUGCAAGCCCCAGUACAGAGUCGCUUUGCGAGCCACGCUGACCCUCACAAAUCGCUUCCGUAUCCGGGUCAGCGUCCUCGGCUGGCCGUGGUGCACAGCUGUCCUCGGUACACCUGUGUCUCCAAAAGGAUGCGCGAGAGUUCGCGGCAACGUGAACGAGUGCUCGCGUUCGCAGCUCGAGAAACCUCCAGCAUGCUACAAUUAUCAGGCGCAGCUUGCACCAUACAUAAACUGCGCGACGAAGAAUCGCCCUCCACCAGAUUCCCA
Molecule: RNA transcript, 1891 nt
Organism: Cyanidioschyzon merolae strain 10D
Lineage: Eukaryota; Rhodophyta; Bangiophyceae; Cyanidiales; Cyanidiaceae
Exons: 1
Source: RefSeq, a predicted model, not a curated record